Molecule: ribosomal RNA, 443 nt
Filed under: uncultured bacterium
Lineage: Bacteria
Description: partial 16S ribosomal RNA
Source: RNAcentral
GACUACAGGGGUAUCUAAUCCUGUUUGCUCCCCACGCUUUCGAGUCUCAGUGUCAGUUACAGUCCAGUGAGUCGCCUUCGCCUCUGGUGUUCCUCCUAAUCUCUACGCAUUCUACCGCUACACUAGGAAUUCCACUCACCUCUCCUGCACUCUAGUUCAACAGUAUCACAUGCACUUCCUCGGUUAAGCCGAGGGAUUUCACAUGUGACUUAUCAAACCACCUACACUCUCUUUACGCCCAGUAAUUCCGGAUAACGCUCGCCACCUACGUUUUACCGCGGCUGCUGGCACGUAGUUAGCCAUGGCUUUCUAAUAGGGUACCAUCACUUUCUUUUUCCCCUAUCACAGAAGUUUACAAUCCGAAGACCUUCUUCCUUCACGCGGCGUUGCUGGAUCAGGCUUUCGCCCAUUGUCCAAUAUUCCCCACUGCUGCCCCCCGUAGG